Molecule: ribosomal RNA, 249 nt
Filed under: uncultured bacterium
Lineage: Bacteria
Description: partial 16S ribosomal RNA
Rfam family: Bacterial small subunit ribosomal RNA
Source: RNAcentral
AUACGUAGGUGGCAAGCGUUGUCCGGAUUUACUGGGCGUAAAGGAUGUGUAGGCGGAUAUUUAAGUGAGAUGUGAAAUCCCCGGGCUUAACUUGGGGGCUGCAUUUCAAACUGGAUGUCUAGAGUGCACCGGAGAGGAAAGCAGAAUUCCUAGUGUAGCGGUGAAAUGCGUAGAGAUUAGGAAGAAUACCAGUGGCGAAGGCGGCUUUCUGGACUGUAACUGACGCUGAGGCAUGAAAGCGUGGGGAGC